UCGAACGGGAAUUACUUAUUGAACCUUCGGUCGAUUUAAUUUAAUUCUAGUGGCGGACGGGUGAGUAACGCGUGGGUAACCUGCCUUAUACAGGGGGAUAACAGUCAGAAAUGGCUGCUAAUACCGCAUAAGCGCACAGAGCUGCAUGGCUCAGUGUGAAAAACUCCGGUGGUAUAAGAUGGACCCGCGUUGGAUUAGCUGGUUGGUGGGGUAACGGCCCACCAAGGCGACGAUCCAUAGCCGGCCUGAGAGGGUGAACGGCCACAUUGGGACUGAGACACGGCCCAGACUCCUACGGGAGGCAGCAGUGGGGAAUAUUGCACAAUGGGGGAAACCCUGAUGCAGCGACGCCGCGUGAAGGAAGAAGUAUCUCGGUAUGUAAACUUCUAUCAGCAGGGAAGAUAGUGACGGUACCUGACUAAGAAGCCCCGGCUAACUACGUGCCAGCAGCCGCGGUAAUACGUAGGGGGCAAGCGUUAUCCGGAUUUACUGGGUGUAAAGGGAGCGUAGACGGUGUGGCAAGUCUGAUGUGAAAGGCAUGGGCUCAACCUGUGGACUGCAUUGGAAACUGUCAUACUUGAGUGCCGGAGGGGUAAGCGGAAUUCCUAGUGUAGCGGUGAAAUGCGUAGAUAUUAGGAGGAACACCAGUGGCGAAGGCGGCUUAC
RNAcentral lists this ribosomal RNA (665 nucleotides) under uncultured Lachnospiraceae bacterium. RNAcentral's name for it is "bacterial SSU rRNA". It matches the Rfam family "Bacterial small subunit ribosomal RNA", at positions 62 to 729 of the family's 1533-position model. The record is from RNAcentral. Lineage: Bacteria; Bacillati; Bacillota; Clostridia; Lachnospirales; Lachnospiraceae.